Electrophorus electricus (electric eel) is the source of this 424-nucleotide non-coding RNA. The record is from the annotation of a RefSeq genome assembly. NCBI's taxonomy places the organism in Eukaryota, Metazoa, Chordata, Actinopteri, Gymnotiformes, Gymnotidae.
GGUGUCUCUCUAGAGGAAAACAGUUCCCUUCAUUCCUGCUUCAACUGAAAACAUGUUAGUUUCAGCUCCACUGCUGCUGCUGACUGCUGCCUCCUAUGUGUUCUGUGCUACUGAGUUCAUCCAGUCAGGCCCAGUGGUUGUUAAGCCAGGAGAUCCUUUAACCAUCACCUGUAGAGUGACUGGAGCUUCUAUCACUGACAGCAGCAGCCACUAUGGAACAGGCUGGAUUCGACAACCUGCAGGAAAAGCUUUGGAAUGGAUCAACAGCAUUGAUUAUGAUGGUGACAUAUAUAAGAAGGAUUCACUGAAAAACAAGUUUGUUGUCUCUCGAGACACCUCCAGUAACACAAUAACCCUUCAAGGGCAGAAUCUGCAGGCUGAAGACACAGCUGUGUAUUACUGUGCUCGAUAUCCACAGUGCUAA